This 447-nucleotide ribosomal RNA is filed under the name uncultured bacterium. RNAcentral describes it as "partial 16S ribosomal RNA". It matches the Rfam family "Bacterial small subunit ribosomal RNA", at positions 29 to 523 of the family's 1533-position model. The record is from RNAcentral.
AACGAACGCUGGCGGCAGGCUUAACACAUGCAAGUCGAACGCCCCGCAAGGGGAGUGGCAGACGGGUGAGUAACGCGUGGGAAAGUACCUUUCAGUUCGGAGUAAAUCAGGGAAACUUGUGCUAAUACCGGAUACGCUCGCGAGCGGACAGAUUUAUCGCUGAGAGAUCGGCGCGCGUUGGAUUAGCUAGUUGGUGGGGUAAUGGGCUACCAAGGCGACGAUCCAUAGCUGGUCUGAGAGGAUGAUCAGCCACACUGGGACGGAGACACGGCCCAGACUCCUACGGGAGGCAGCAGUGGGGAAUAUUGGACAAUGGGCGAAAGCCUGAUCCAGCCAUGCCGCGUGAGUGAUGAAGGCCCUAGGGUUGUAAAGCUCUUUCACCGAUGAAGAUAAUGACGGUAGUCGGAGAAGAAGCCCCGGCUAACUUCGUGCCAGCAGCCGCGGUAA